This 1374-nucleotide long non-coding RNA is filed under the name Cricetulus griseus (Chinese hamster). Its description in RNAcentral is "lncRNA (ENSCGRG00015031612.1)". Lineage: Eukaryota; Metazoa; Chordata; Mammalia; Rodentia; Cricetidae. The record is from RNAcentral.
AUUUUCUCAAGCUUCACACAAUGUGACAGUCAGUUGACUUCCGGUUGCCUGAAAGAUGUAGUAUUCUCAGCUCCAGCACCACAUGCUGUCCCCAUCAUGAUGAUAAUGGACUGAAUCUCUGAAACUUGUAAACUGAGACGAGUAUCAAUCUGGAGAAAGUAAACUCAAGAGCAGGAGAGAUGGCUCAGUGGGUGAAGGUGUUUGCUGGUGACCAAGAGUGGAGCCCCUGGAAUCCAUGCAGUGGAAGGAGAAAACCAGCUCUGACCUCCACAAUGGUUGCUGCUGCAAGGCCGUACACUCUCCCAGCUAAGUGCAGCCACCUGUGUGACCUCAGCCCUGCUGCUGCCAUCUUGCCUGACCAGCCACCGCCAAAAGUUACGCAGAAUAGCUGAACGCCUUUGCCACCUUCUGGUCAAAGAUAAUUACUGCAUCUGGAGUAGAAACCACCAGAUUUUAUUUAUUUAUUAUAUAUGCAGUCUUCUGCCUGCACGCCAGCAGAGGGUACCAGAUCUCAUUCAAGGUGGUUGUGAGCCACCAUGUGGUUGCCAGGAAUUGAACUCAGGACCUCUGGAAGAACAGUCAGUGCUCUUAACCACUGAGCCAUCUCUCCAGCCCCAAACACUAAACUUUUGUAAUGCCCAUGAGAAAGGACAAACAGCUGUGGAAAGACACUGGACUAAGGAAAAAACUACUGAACUGAAUCAGCUGGUAUACUUCAAAGAUGUACUAACCUCUGUAUGGAAACCAGGACAUGUGUUACAAUGGGGUAGGGGUUUUGCUUUGGUUUCCACAGGAGAAGAAAAACUUUGGAUACCAUCAAUUUGAUCAAGAUUUGAGUUGAAAAGGAAAAACCUCUCGACGAGGAGAAAUGACAGGUAUUCUACUAAGGUAUGUCUUAUAAACUAAAUAGAAACCUCCCAAAGGAAAGGGAAGUAUUUUGCUUUUAUCUUCACAGCAAAACUCAUCUCCAGAAAGCAAAGGACACUGCAUGGGUAGAUGCUUAAGAAGAAAAGGUGGCUAUAACCUUCAAACAAAAGGAAUAUGCCAUAUGGUUAACUUUAUAGCUGUCUCUCAGAGAACUCUAUUUCUCUUUAUUUCCUAGUCCCUAUUCAAUUAAACCAAUGCUAGCGUUAGAGGUGGAUUUGGCUUUCCAACAAGUAUGUUAUUUAACUAAAUGUCAGAGCCACUGUAUUGUAUCAAGAAGCCAAUUGAUGUAAUACAGAAUGAGAGAAAAGUUGGGGACUGUCUUUGUCUUUUCUUGGCUCUUUCUCUCAAGGUGUACAUCCUCUCAUAAUUGUUAUGCUCCCAUGGUUGCAUUCCCCAGCAUGUGUACAUACACAAGCAAACAUUUCUCCACUAACAUUUAUGUUUGAG